UACGUAGGGUGCAAGCGUUGUCCGGAAUUAUUGGGCGUAAAGAGCUCGUAGGCGGCUUGUCGCGUCGUCCGUGAAAACCUGCAGCUCAACUGCAGGCUUGCGGGCGAUACGGGCAGGCUAGAGUUCGGUAGGGGAGACUGGAAUUCCUGGUGUAGCGGUGAAAUGCGCAGAUAUCAGGAGGAACACCGAUGGCGAAGGCAGGUCUCUGGGCCGAUACUGACGCUGAGGAACGAAAGCGUGGGGAGCGAACAGG
RNAcentral lists this ribosomal RNA (253 nucleotides) under uncultured bacterium. RNAcentral's name for it is "partial 16S ribosomal RNA". It matches the Rfam family "Bacterial small subunit ribosomal RNA", at positions 524 to 776 of the family's 1533-position model. The record is from RNAcentral.